RNA transcript from Acanthopagrus latus (yellowfin seabream), 7656 nucleotides. It is a transcript of the gene named photoreceptor cilium actin regulator 1, with no coding region annotated. Lineage: Eukaryota; Metazoa; Chordata; Actinopteri; Spariformes; Sparidae. The transcript is spliced from 5 exons. The record is from RefSeq and is a predicted model, not a curated record.
UUAGUAUUUUUUGUGUGUUUUUUCGUGUCUGGUGGCGAGGAUGGCGUCCUCUGAGCUGGUGCCACCACACAGCUCCACAGUAGAGCAGGUGCUGCUGGCUGUGGGGGAGCAGAUAGGCCACGGAAACAUCCUUUAUGCCUCUCGCAUGAAUACAGCGGUCGUGGUAGUUUUUGAAAGACCGGAGUUGUGUAAGUGAAGUUAUCGAGAGUGGUUUAACUUUAGAUGAGGGGUUCUUUCAAGUUUCCCCGCUGGCUGUUCCCUCUACACGGAUUACUGUGUCCGGCGUUCCUCCUUUCAUCCCGAGCAAAGCGCCGGGACGAGAACUGAAGCGGUUCGGUCCGCAGAGACGAGACGGCACACAGCGGGCUGACAGUGGCGAGAGGAGCGGUGAGAGGAGUGGCGAGGCCGCUCUGACGGUGAGUGCGGCAGCGGCGGCCGGCUCCGCGCGCGGACCCUCUGCGGCUGACGCAAAGCCGAGUGUUUCAAGAGAUGUAGCAGCCGACAGAGAGGCCUGGUUCUGCCUAAACUGGUUCACUGGUUCAGGGAGGGCAGGUUCCUCAUCGACAUCGCCUCCUUCUUUCUGCUGGUCUGCUGUGGCCCGGUUGCUGCUCUGGAGGGCCGGGCGGCUCGGCUAUGAUAAACAACUGUUCCUGAUGAAGUCCCCUUUGUGCAGCCAUGCUGGCCUUACACCUUUUUAGAGCUCUGUCAUCGAUGCCUGGAGGACUCUGAGCUUUACUCGACCACCUGACCCCAGGCCUGGGAUGUGGCUGUUUGAGAAACCUUUGUUUGAUAAUGGAUUCCUUUUUGAUACCAUCUUCUCUUCAGCCACCCUAAAAACAGCUUUCAUUGAGGUGGGAGUAGUGAAGCUGGGCCAUCUUACACAGACAUCAAUUGAGAGUCUGGCUGAAGUGAUACGGUCAACCAGAGUGCUGCAGAACCUGGUGAACGGAGUGUGGCAAUCUCUGUCGGCAGAACUUCAGACUUUUGUGCAGAGCCGAAGUUUGGCUGACCAGUGGAGUACAGGACAUGAGUAUGUCUUCCCUCCCCCUUGAGUGUGAGUCCUGAGGUGGGGGAAUGGAGAGAGGAGAGAGGUCUUGUUUUAACCUUAAAAGCUCCAGCUCUGGAAACAUUCAGCACCUGUCCAAGUAAACAGCUGUACUCCAGCUGUGUGAAGCUACUGAACUUUUCUCUUCUUGCAGGAGUCAGAGAGUCAAAGUGGACUGAGGUGUUGGGCUCAAACUUUUCUCCUAAUGGCAGCUCCUGUACAAUGGCAGCUCCUGUACAAUCCUCCUGUCAAGAAACGGAUGGCUGACUUCCAUUGGAGGUUUAUACAUGGAGCGAUAGCUACGAACAGACACAGAGCUCACUUUGACCCAUGCACUGGGGAGGGUUGUCCUUUCUGUUCACUCACAGAGACCUUAAACCACCUGGUGCUGUCCCCCCCAGAUUGGUGGAUGUUUUUAAAAUGCUGCAGGAGUGGGUGGAGGGCUUGGGAGAGGUGUUCUCUGUUCCCCUCUUUGUCUUUGAACCAAAAUACUCACCUAAGAAAAGGCAAACUUUGGUUUUAUUCAAUUUUAUAUUUGCAAGUGCCAAACUAGCGAUCUGGAAAAGCUGAAAAAACAAACUCCUUGAAAAAGGCUGGACAGACCCAGUACGCUGUCUGAGGGGUUUAGUAGCGGUCCGUCUGAGGGUAGAACACACAUAUUUUAGACUAACCAACAACCUGGAUGGUUUAAAAGCUAUGUGGGCUGUUAGGCAGGUCUUAUGCUCACUGGGAGAGGAUGGCUCUUUAGUUUUACAUUUUUAGAAGGAUGGUUGUUUUAUAGUUGUUUUUUUUUUUUUGUGUGAUUAGUUAUGCACCAAUUGAAAUAAGUAUUUAAGGGUUGCUUAGAAUGUUUUUUAAAUAAAGUUACUUGAAAGUCAAAAGUUUUCUUCUUCUUCUUCUUCUUCCACAAGCAAAACUGCCAUUACCACCCCCCUCAGAUGUUGGCUAUUUAAAUUGAAAUGUUAAAUAUGUACUCAUAAAUAUACAAGAAAAGAAAACAUUAAGGAAUAGAAUAAUUGCCCAAGAUUAAUAUUAUCUCUAACAGUUGUGUUUGUGCAAAAGAGGAAAAACUCAAAUAAAUGAAUAUAGCCUAAUCUGACUUACUUAUGUUAUUUUCACUAACUUUUAAGGCUAUAUUGCAAGCCAGACAAUGCUGGUGACUGUGAAUAUUUGAUGUGUAUAUCAGCUGUUUGAUACAGAUUGGUAAAAUUGGGUUUAAACCAGCUAGUUUUUCAAUUAUUAUUGUAAAAACAAUAAUGCAUUUAAUUGUGACAUCACAGAGACAACAAAAAUAAACAUUAUAGAUAAAGGAAUGCAAUGACAAAACAAUUACUGUAGUUUAAAUAAGUACAUGCUGACAAAAAUAUUCUGUAGAGGGCUUAGAUAACGCUAAAAGUCAUUUUUGUACUUGUAGUCAUGCUAUGAUCUGAACCAAGGAGUGAGGCAAAAAGUUAAAGGUGCAUCUGUUAUAAUAAACAGAUUCAGUUUGUACUAAUGUGUGAUAGGGCUGAUAUAUAACCAGAAUUAAGUCUUCAAAGAGUAAAUAUUCCGUUAUCUUCUCAGCACAAUUAAAAACAAAAGUCUAAUAGAAAUGACUUUUACUGCAGCAGGUCAGACGUAGUUCAAGUUAUUUUAAAGCUUGCCUCUCUGUUCCAGUGAACUGGUGCUAGAUAUAGAGGUUUAAAGAAGAUCAGCAAAGCACCAAAAUAACUCACAACUGUAUGACAAAGGUAUCUAAGCCUGUUUUUAGAUGUUAUGUAAAAUGGAAAUAUUAUUGGUUCCUAUUAAAGAUUUCUGUAUCAUAUUGCUAAUACAGAAAAUCUCUGAUACAGGAAUAAUAGUUCAUAGUUGAAAAUUAUUAGUGCGUGUUAUCUGUAUACAACUGCAACUACAAAUAACACAGUUAAAAAGAAGCACUUUCAGUUUUUAUAAAACUGUUGACUGUUUUUUGUAAACUUUUUCUUUAGUUUGUUUUUUUUCUUUGGUUUUACAAUGGAAAUGGCUGUACAGGGCUAAUUAGGGAGAUAUUGUUUUGCAGGCUAUAAACAGCCACCUGAGGCCAGCCCGCAUUACCCAAAUGAGCUUAUGGUCUUACGAGUAGGUGAGUUUUAUAUGCUUUAACGUGACAUAUGUGCAUGCUGAGAAGUUCGCUGAAAGCCUCACUAAUCCUCUCAGCUGCUUGUCCUUUGAAAGGUACGGAAGGAUGUGUUUCAGAGCAGGAUCCAACACAUUUUUUGUUGAAAUGACUAUAAAUCUUUGGAUUUAUUUUGCCUAUCAAUGACCGGUAGGAGGGAUUUGAAAAAUGGAUUUAUCAAUAUUUUGUUUUGGUUGCAUCAUCGUCGAUAGGGAUCUUAUCAGACUGGACAACCUCAGCCAUCUGAAAAUGACAGAUACAGCAGGUGGCUAAAGACCUUGGCUAUUCUCUGCAUAACUGCCUGCUUUGCUUUGCUUCGCUGCACCUUUAAGAAGAGAGAAAAAUCUGCUUGUGUUUGAAAACAUCGGAAAUGGGCUGCUCACCAUCCAAAGGUAACAAUUUGGGGAUUUUGGGUCCCAUGAGGAAGGGGAGAAUGUUGCCCCCUGCACCUCAAGAGAAAGAUUCCCACGUUGACAAUGGAGAGAGUUGUAGUCCAACUGGAUGGACAAAUGGGGAUAAGAACGAAAGGAAGGCAGUCGGACAAACCCAGGUAUCUCACAGAGAGGCUCAUAUGUCACCACAAAAAAAGAGAUCUGUGACUGAGCUAGCUCCUGAAGCAGCAAACACAGAUAAAUUGGGAAGUCAAGGAAAGGACAACAACACAGUUUCACAGAAGAAAGAGAAAAACAUUGACAAGCAGGAUGUGACAGAAAAAAAGCCUGGCAGGAAACCUAAGAAAAAUACUAGAGGUAUUAAAGUGCUAAAAAAGAAAGACAAGGACAAUGAAAAACCAGCUACAGAACAGAAAGUGGACUUCCCAGAACCUUUGGUAAAAGCUCACCAAGCUGCUUAUACCUUUUUGAAUCCCAGUAUAACGAAAUAUGACAUUCUACUUGGACUUUUGGAACAAGCAACACAAACACAGGCUUCUGUGCAGCCUAUGGUUGCUUUUAUGGCUCUACGCUAUGAGGAAAUGAUUCAUGGACUGGAGGAGAUUGCAGAUGAGGGAGAAAAAGUUUUAAAAGAAAAUGGAGAGCAUCUCGCCUGGCCAAGUCAAAUGAAAAAUCUCUCAUCUUCCACACCUCUGAAGUCGGGCUGCGCUAAUGUUGAGCCCCCUCCGGAUUUGUUGCAGCAGCUGCUUCAGUACACCACACAGAGAAUGCGAAAUGUGAGUCAGACUGUUGGUGGAAUUGGGGACUCUGCUUUAGAGGAGGCGGUGGAGUACUUUGCCUCUGUCUCAGAAGUUUUAGAGGAGAAACUAAAAGUCAAACGUGCAGUAGAGACUAGGCUAAUGCAACUCUUAUCUCGCAUUGAACUCGCCUCUCUUCGUAAGCCAGGGCCUGAGGAUUCUGCUCUCUUUAGUGAGGACAGCGGCAUUGGGGCUGAGAAUGAAUCUCUUGCUGGAUCUGAAAGACGCCUUAGACGAGAGAGUUGUGAGUCUAGUGGGACCAAUAGAACUCCUACUGUCAGUCCUGUGGGAUACACCUCGAUGAACAUAAGGCAAGGAGUGUCAAGGCAAAAGGUCAGAAGAAAAAUAAGUCCAAGUGUCUCUCUCACCUCACUCAACUCAUUAGGUUCUACAUGUACCAUAAUGGCUAAUGACCAAAGAGACUCAGUAUUAGGAUCGGCCUCCUUAGAUGAUGGGGAAGAUGAUGACAAUGAUGAGGAUGAGGAGGUGGAUAGAAGCAUUGGACCUGUGCAAGUAGGGUUUAUAAAACGAUCAAAUUCUUCACUUGACAGCGAACAAUGCCCACACCGCCUACCUCCAAAACGCAUAGAGAAUCCUAAAAAUGUAGAAAUGACUCUGAAAAUGAAAAAUGCUAUAAGUGGUAGGAUACAGUUUGUCCCAUCUCAGAGCUCUAGUCCCAAAACAAAGGUUGCUGGCAGUCCGAAAACCAGCAGGCGCCAGUGGACAGAUGAGGAGGAACGAUCUCCAAGGAGGCCUCAAACAGCAGCACCUAUUCGGAAAGCAGUGGCAAAAAAGACCCCAGUGAUUAUCGAACGACGUUCCCGGUCAGCAGAAUCCCUCCGGAGCAAAGGUGAAGAUCCUACUCUGCUUGAACUAGACAGAACCCAGAAGGAUUUAAACCAAAGGUUGCAGAGGAUGAGUAAAACCAAGACAUGUGGAAACACAAGGUCUGCACCACCUAAACAAAAUCAAGUAACGUCACCAGCACAGUCUCCAGCAAUAAAUCGCAAACAUCCCUCAUUAGGCAAAAGCAGCAAUGCCCAACCACUUAAAGACAAAGCAGGCCUUGAAAGGCACAGCAACAAAAAACAGACCAUAACCAGUGAUGUCGAAGAAGAUAAAUCAAAGAAUAAGAACACAUCCAAGGGUCCUAUUAAAGCCACCCCACCCCCGAGCCCGCCUUUAUCACCACGACCAUCUUCGGGUCUCUACAGAGGGCGGAACUCAGUCAAAAAACUGAUUGACACCUUCAGUCAGGGAAUAGAGGAUUUAGAUGGUCCUAAAGUUCUGGGGCCUCUGAGAGGAGUACAGAAGUGUGGUGUUCCUGUGUUACCUGGUUUAGGAAAUGUAGAAGCUGUGCUUAGUGCUGGGUUAACCAGUUGUAGACCUGAAUCCUCUUCAUUGGAGAAAAACGACUAUUUUGAUCUCGAUAGUCUUCCUCCGCCUCCUCCUGAAGUAUUAAUGGACAAUUCCUUUGAAAGUGCCCAGAGUCUUCCAAGUAGUGUAGCAGAUGAAGGGGCUAUGAAAGUCAGAAAAUCACCUUUAUUAAAAAGGUCUGUAUUAUCGCAACGACUGAGGGCCUCAGUUCAGCCAGUAACAGUGCUGCCAAGUAAAGGAGGCCUACCACAGGCAUCCAAGGUUAUUUCCCUUGCCAAAGCUGAUCAAAAAGACACAUCUGCUCACUCAAAAGCCAAUUCAUCAGGUGUUCAACCGGAGGUAGACACAGGAGAGGAAAAUGAUUCCUUGAACCAGCAACACAGAAAGAUCAUUCACUUAAAACACUCUUCAGACUCAGAGAAAUUGUUAACAAGUUAUGUAGCAACAAAUCCAUCUGCUAGUCAAGAAGAAUCAGCUGAUACUCAAGAUGGUGGUAACCUUUCAGUGCCUGGCCCUAGCACUACAGCGUCGACAGUGCCUACUUCAAUAGUUAGCAGCCAACCACCUGCCACCCCAACCAUGUCAAGGGGACGAAUGUUACCAUCCACUCCGUCGACACCACCACACAGCAGUCUACAUCGAAGACUUCCCAGUCCCCACAACUUCAAAAGGCAACCUACCCCGACCUCUUCAGCUAGUCCUCCUGUUACCAGGAAAGUCCCCACACCACCAGCAGUUCAUAGGAGACUCCCCAGUCCACCUGUUGCAAAGCAGAAUAUUUCAAACUCAAGUGCAUCCUCCUCCUACCCUUUCAAAGCACCAUCUCCACCAGCCUCUCCAAAAGUGCAAAGAUGGUCAAGGGAGAACAGUAGUGAAGACUCAUCUAGUGCUCGGACUAUUACGAAUGCACGUUCAGUCUUCUGCCCCGCAUCUCCAUCCUUGUUUGAGGCCCAACCUUGUCCAGUUCCCCGACCCCCUCAAGCUUGGAUGUCAACAGGAGUCUCUUUUCUCUCACGAUCUUGGGGGGGUCGUGGGACGUUUCCUGUAUCUUUUCAAGGACCACGACCCUUCAUCCGACGUAGCCAUUCAGACCGAAGGCCAAGUCUAAGUCUGCCACCAACAUCAACCGGCAUUUCAGUAGCUGAGACAUGUGGAAGUGAGCCAGCAAUAUAUUUGAAGGGGCUGGAUGACGAACCAACCAGGAAUGAUGAACUGUGGGGUAGCCAAUCAGACCUCAGAGCUACACCACGCUCUGCGUCACACCCGGACCUGUGUGUUGUUGGACAGGCUUUGCACAGAGACUAAAGGGGCCAAUGGAGGACCAGUGGGAUUAUGGAUUAGGAGGCCUUACCAUGGAUUUAACACAGUGAUGUUUAUUCCACUGGGCAGGAAGGCACUGGCAACCACCAAUUGGGCUUCCGAGAAUGGCAUGAGGGACCAAUGGCGGGUUCGAGGGGUGGGACCACCCACCUGGUUGUAAGGUUAAAGAUGAGGAGACUGGCACAGAACAGGAGAGAGGAAAAAGAAGGAAAUGAAGGCAGAAGUGUGGAAGGACAACGAGACCUCCUGAACCUUGACGGUGGUGUACUAGGUGUGCAGAGACAAAGAGACGUCCAGUGCAAACAUGGUGGUGUACCAGGCAGGUGGCGAGACUGAUGAGUCACCACCUUUCCUCUGCUAAACUGGAUGGCAGGUUUUGUUAGAGAAUCUUUAAAUCUUUGAAUUGUAGUAUUUUUAAAACUCUUAGCUGUGUACAUUCAACAAUUGUCAAAUACAUUUGAACAGUUUUUACCUUGAACUUUGGCUUGUCUCCUCAGUAUUGUUCCCUACCUGAUUUAAAAAAAAAAUAAAAAAUUACAUUACAUUACAUUAACCCCCCCUUACAACAAUAUAUUUUCUUACUGUUUAAUC